Molecule: long non-coding RNA, 3039 nt
Organism: Dermochelys coriacea (leatherback sea turtle)
Lineage: Eukaryota; Metazoa; Chordata; Testudines; Dermochelyidae
Exons: 4
Source: RefSeq, a predicted model, not a curated record
GUGAGCUACAGCUCACUUCUUCGGAUGAAGUGAGCUGUAGCUCAUGAAAGCUUAUGCUCAAAUAAUUUUGUUAGUCUCUAAGGUGCCACAAGUACACCUUUUCUUUUUGUAGGUUGUCUAUGUCCCUGCGCUGCUGAUCAGAGAGUUUUGGUAGUAGUCUGUCCCACCCGCACAUGCGUUGCUCCCCGCCUGCCAUUAGGCUAGCCAGCAUGCGUGAGCAAUCUCUCCUCAGUUACUUUUCUACUGCACAGUCAACUACCAGGACUCCAAAAUAGAGGGGAGGAGGGUGCAUCAUGGAGCUCCCAUCAGGCACACAUCUUGAAGAACCAUUGUUAUUGCACAAGGUGAGUAACUUCUUCGAGAGGUGUCCCUAUGGGUGGCUCCACUGUAGGUGAUUCCUGAGCAGUGCCCACCACUGGAGAUUGUGACUUCGGAGUCGAGUCUGAUAUUGAUGAUAGUACUCUGGCACCAAAUUUGGAGUUUGAAGCCAAAUCCCCAGGAUGCCAUAAUGUUCUGUAGAGGUGUGUGCAGAUGCCCAAGUAAUUGCUCUUCAUAUUUCUGAUAUAGGGAUACCCUGGGCAAAGGAUGAAGAGACCGACCUCGUAGAAUGUGUGCGUAUUGAAGACAGGGUUACCAUUAUGCAAUUGGUAACAGAAUUUAAUACAGCCCAAGACGCACUUAGAGAGUCAGUGAGAUGAAAUCACUGUGCCUUUUGACCUAUCUGCAAUGGAAGGAGAAUUUUCUGAAGGCUCUUUUUAUCCUGAUGAGGUUUGGGAUAAAAGGCUGGAAGCUAAAUAAGCUAAUUUAUGUGAAAUGCAGAAGUCACGUUGAGAGUGAAUUUCAGAUGUGGUCUAAGCAUGACCUUGUCAGGAAAGAACCCAGUGAAAGGGGAAUGCGCCAUUGAAACCGCUAUUUCCCCAAUCCUUCUUGCAGAGGUGAUGACUAUGAGAAACACCACCUUCAUGGUAAGGUGAGUUAACGAACAAGUGGCUGGCCAUGGGUUCAAAUGGUGGCCUAGUCAGACCUUUUAAUAGUAGGUUGCGAUCCUAUUGAGGCAUGGGAAGUCUGGGUUGUGGGAAGAAGUUUGCUAUUCAUUUGAUAAACUUCUUCAUAGUCAGAUGGGAGAAGAUUGAAUAUCCUUCUGUCUGCUGAGGGAAGGUUGCAAUUGCUGCUAUGUGAACCAAUAGAGAGUCCUGAUUUCUUGAGACUCAACAGGUAGUCCAGGAUCACUGGUAGGGUGGAUGUAUUAGGCAUGACACUUUUGGGAUGGCCCCAGAUCUGGAAUCUCUUUCAUUUUUGUGGAUAGGUAUUUCCUACUGUGCAAUAACACGUCCUAUACCUCCUUAGAGCAAGACGUCUCUACGUGCUGGAACCAUGAAGGAGCCAGACUUUGAGACACAGAAUCCACAGGUUGGGGUGGAGAGUGUGUCUCUUCAGCAACAGAAGAUAAGGAGUUAUUGGAAGAGUCAUCAGUGGGCAUAAUGCCAGCUGUGACAGGUAAGGGUACCACGUCUGUCUGGGCCAAGUGGGAGAAAUCAGUAUGUUUGCGCUCUCUUCACUUUCAACAGGACUUUCAAUAUUAGACGUAAUGGGGGAAAAGCGUAAAGAAGGCCUUUGUCCCAUGGAUGGAGGAGGGCAUCUUCCAUGGAAUGUCGUCUGAUCCCCACUCAAGCAGUACUGUGGACACUGCUUGUUCUGCAGGAGGAAACAAGUGCACAUGUUGAUGUGGAGGCUUCUCUCACCUGGAGACCAUUUGUCCUGUAUUGUGCGACCAUUGAGAUACGUGCAGUUAGGAGUAGAGAUGGGGAAGACUGAACAAACAGGAUUCCCGUACAGAUGUUUACUGGGAUUGCUUGACCCUGGCCCAGAUUCUGAAACAGAUCUAGUGUCGUCUCAGUGACUUGCUGGGAUUCUGCAAAGGACCAGACCCUGAGAAGGCAGUCCAUGUGUAUAAAUCCCAAGGGAUCGAAGAGUGGCCCUCAAAUCUUUUAACAUGUGGAGGGACGCAUCUGUCUUUUCAGCAAAUAAUUUUGUCCCCUAAAAAGGGAAGUCCUCCACAGUCAUUUGGACCUCCUUGGGGAAGUCAAAGAGAUGAAGCCACGAGGCCUGUCUCAUCACAACGCAGACAAAAUAGAACAUGCCACCGUCAAAUGCAUACUGGAGCGACUGUCACCAGCUGGCCCUCGUUAACCAAGGCCUUAAAUUGGUCCUUGUGAGAAUGGGGGAGUUAUUCAAUAUUUCAAUAAAAUAACUAAAUUUCACAUAGUUCUGAGCCAUAGUUAGCCCAGAAGGCUUGAUAGUUCACCACUUUGAAUUGAAGGGUAGCUGAGGCGCGGGCCUUACUGCAAAACAGGUCCAGGCACUCCCAGUCCUGGUAUAAGGGGUGGACUUAAAGUGGUUUUGGCAGCCUUUAGAGUUAAUUGCAUCCACAAUGAUCAAAUUGGGAGGCAAGUGUGAGAACAGGAAUUCUGUGUCCUUUGCUGGCACAUAAUAUUUCUUGUCCAUCCUCUUCAAGUUGGUGGGAUGGAUGCAGAGGCCUGCCAUAUCACCUUGGCAGAAUCCAGUAGAGCCUCAAUAAUAGGGAGGGGGCACUCUGGAGGAGGUGGAGGAAUGCGGAAUGUCCACCACAUAGUGGUGCAACUCAGACACCUCUUGUAAAGGUCUCUGUCACCCUCUGUGCCAAGUCCUGGAACAGCUUAAAGUCAUCCGGCAUGGAUGGCGGAGGGGGCAUCACAGUUUCAUCUGGUGAUAAUGAUGAAAAGUGGGCUGGAGGAGUGACGACUUCUUUGACUUUGGCCUCCCUUGCCUGCUCGGGGAGUUCAGAGGCCCUUGAGGCAGCAGCUGAAGGAGGGUACUUCCUCAGCUGUUGGUACACCAUACUAUCAGUGAUGGAGGCCUGUUGCCUUUGGGCCUGCCGGAGUCCCAGUAUGGCCACUGUGAUGGGAAGGGGUGCAGUGGUUGGUACCAUGGUUGCCCAUACUAGGGAUGUUGUGGGUCAGAAGGGUGUCCAUAGUGAAACUGGGCUCUGUAUGGCGGGUG